RNAcentral lists this long non-coding RNA (656 nucleotides) under Homo sapiens (human). RNAcentral describes it as "HSALNT0369043". The record is from RNAcentral. Lineage: Eukaryota; Metazoa; Chordata; Mammalia; Primates; Hominidae.
AACUUCAAGCAUGUUGGGCUCUCCAGGAGGGAGAAGAGGCACCUUUGCCGUGGGUUGAGGACUCCUAGAACCAACCUGAGACUCCGCGGCCAUAUACACCUUACGACGUGUGUGUGUGUGGCGGGAGAUGGGAGGGGAGGAAUCCUGUAGAACCCAGAUCCCAUCAUUCCAGCAACUGCCAGAGCGUUCGAGAAUGUCAUGUCUGUACCUGUCUUCUCUCAUCUUUUGUGCCAACUGUUUUAUCAAACUUCUACCCCACUUUAGGUCUUCCAGAGUACAACACAAAUAUACUGCCCAGGUUCUAAAACAUGUAUAAGAGUUAACAAAAUCAGCUGAGGUUGAGCAGAAAUUGUAUAGGAAAAAAUAGGAAAAACACAGAGACCAAUCUCAGCUGCAAGAAGGUUCAGCUAGACACUGCAAGCAAAAGUAUAACUCCUGAAGAUACAGGAAAAGACCUUAACUGAGGGAUGGUUUCCUGCUGUGUCCUCGGAACCCCAGGGCCUGGUUCAUAGAGACAAGUAAGCAGUGACUGAAGAAAGUUGCAAAUGUGAAGACCUAGAAUUUACCAGUGAAUGACAAUUUGAAUGUGAGAAGCUUAGAAAAAGAGAAGAUGGUGGUCAGCAAGGGAAGAAGAAAAAUAAAAACAUGUGAAAAAA